UAGGGAAUCUUCGGCAAUGGACGAAAGUCUGACCGAGCAACGCCGCGUGAGUGAAGAAGGUUUUCGGAUCGUAAAACUCUGUUGUUAGAGAAGAACAAGGACGUUAGUAACUGAACGUCCCCUGACGGUAUCUAACCAGAAAGCCACGGCUAACUACGUGCCAGCAGCCGCGGUAAUACGUAGGUGGCAAGCGUUGUCCGGAUUUAUUGGGCGUAAAGCGAGCGCAGGCGGUUUCUUAAGUCUGAUGUGAAAGCCCCCGGCUCAACCGGGGAGGGUCAUUGGAAACUGGGAGACUUGAGGGCAGAAGGGGAGAGUGGAAUUGCAUGUGUAGCGGUGAAAUGCGUAGAUAAAUGGAGGAACACCAGUGGCGAAGGCGGCUGUCUUGUCUGUAACUGACGCUGAGGAUCGAAAGCGUGGGGAGCAAACAGG
Molecule: ribosomal RNA, 429 nt
Filed under: Gemmatimonadota bacterium
Lineage: Bacteria; Pseudomonadati; Gemmatimonadota
Description: Gemmatimonadetes bacterium partial 16S ribosomal RNA
Rfam family: Bacterial small subunit ribosomal RNA
Source: RNAcentral